Long non-coding RNA from Phasianus colchicus (ring-necked pheasant), 589 nucleotides. The record is from Ensembl. Lineage: Eukaryota; Metazoa; Chordata; Aves; Galliformes; Phasianidae.
ACCCCCCUCACCGGCUUUUAGCUAUGGGGUGGGGGGGGGAGGGAGGAUGCUCCCGGCUCCCUCCCGCCCCGCCUGCCCCCGGCCCAGCCCUACGAACACCAUUUUGCGCAGGGAGGGGGGGAUCCGGGGGUCGGUCCCGCCCGGCUCCGCAGUGGCAGCGCUGCCCCGUCACCUGACCGCCGUGCGCGCGCACCGCACCGCACCGCGCCGCCCCCCCCCGCAUCCCCUCCCCUCCCGCGGGGGCGGGGGUGCCCGGUAUAUACGGCCCCGCCGCCCCCGCCCCUGCCUGCCUCCUGCAGCAGGGGAGGCCGCCGCUCGCCGCCGCACCGCGCCCGGCCCCGCAGGUGGGCGAGCCGCAGCGGGGUCCUCCGGGUCCCAAGAUGGCCGCCGCUGCCUGGCCCCCUCCUGCGGUUUGCUGCGCCGCGUGAGUACCUGGCAAGCUCCUACUGUGGUGCCUUGGAGUCGGGGAGGGGAUCUCAGCAAGAGGAUUUCUGCCCAUCUUGAACUGGGGUAUUCUCUGGGAGGGAGAGAGGAGGAAAAGAGCACGAUUCUGAGAUGCACGCAUGUAUUAGAGGGGACGCUUGAUUAG